UACGGAAGGCAGCAGUGGGGAAUAUUGCACAAUGGGCGCAAGCCUGAUGCAGCCAUGCCGCGUGUAUGAAGAAGGCCUUCGGGUUGUAAAGUACUUUCAGCGGGGAGGAAGGCGAUGCGGUUAAUAACCGCGUCGAUUGACGUUACCCGCAGAAGAAGCACCGGCUAACUCCGUGCCAGCAGCCGCGGUAAUACGGAGGGUGCAAGCGUUAAUCGGAAUUACUGGGCGUAAAGCGCACGCAGGCGGUCUGUUAAGUCAGAUGUGAAAUCCCCGGGCUUAACCUGGGAACUGCAUUUUGAAACUGGCAGGCUUGAGUCUUGUAGAGGGGGUAGAAUUCCAGGUGUAGCGGUGAAAUGCGUAGAGAUCUGGAGGAAUACCGGUGGCGAAGGCGGCCCCUGGGACAAAGCUGACGCUCAGGUGCGAAAGCGUGGGGAGCAAACGAGGAUUAGGAUAC
RNAcentral lists this ribosomal RNA (454 nucleotides) under uncultured bacterium. RNAcentral's name for it is "bacterial SSU rRNA". It matches the Rfam family "Bacterial small subunit ribosomal RNA", at positions 340 to 785 of the family's 1533-position model. The record is from RNAcentral.